Molecule: unclassified non-coding RNA, 153 nt
Filed under: uncultured Cephalothecaceae
Lineage: Eukaryota; Fungi; Ascomycota; Sordariomycetes; Sordariales
Description: sequence contains ITS2
Source: RNAcentral
CAACCCUCAAGCACUGCUUGGCGUUGGGGCACUACGCGCCGAGCGUAGGCCCCUAAAAUCAGUGGCGGGCCCGCCGUGGCUCCGGGCGUAGUAGCAACACCUCGCCCCGGGACUGCGGCGCGCUCCGGCCGUUAAACCCCCCACCAUACUGAA